Non-coding RNA from Benincasa hispida (wax gourd), 1062 nucleotides. The record is from RefSeq and is a predicted model, not a curated record. Lineage: Eukaryota; Viridiplantae; Streptophyta; Magnoliopsida; Cucurbitales; Cucurbitaceae.
AUCAUUCAUAUCAUCUUUUCUUUCUCCACUCCUUUAAUUAUACACACUUUAUUUCUCGAUUACCCUACAGAUCUCAUUGGUUUUUUCUUUUAAAAAUAAUCUAAUUUCAUUUGUUUUUUUUUUUUUCUGUUUCUUUUAUGAUCAUUAUCCUCGAGUUUUGUGGAUUUCUUUUGCUGAAUUCAGUUUCGUGGUUUCUUUGUGUAUCGCUGGAGGAGGAGGAGGAAGAAGGUUAGCAGGAUGUUAGGAAUUCAUACAGUUCUGCAGCUUCUAUUUAUUUUAUUUGGGACAACAACAACCAUAGUGUUGUUUGUGGUAUUUCACUAAUUAAAUGGUGGGCUGUUGAGCACGCCCAUAGCCAUAUCCAUAUUGUAUGUCCAACCGUCACUUUCUAGCAUUGCUUCAAUCUGCAAGUAAAAAGAAUAUUCAUUGUAACGUUUAAAUUCCUCACUGGUAUCUAGUUUCAAGAUUUUGUUUCCUGUUCAUCUAGAAUCAGAGCAAUGUGCUAAAAGCAGAAGCAUAUUCUCAUACAAAAUCUUGUUGACCCCCCCGAAGAAGUGCUCAGAAGUAAGCAGUUCGUUGGAAUCACUCUACACAUUUUUAAUUCAUGGGAUAUUUCUUCUAUUUAAGAAAGUCUUUCUUUCUAAAAGAAAUAAGACAUGAAAUAUACUUUUUGGCAAUACAUGGAAACUUUGGCAAGAAGAAUCGAAGCUCUUUCAGGAGGCCCUUAAAAUGCCCAAAAUGUUCCAGCAUUCAAUCAAGAAUGGGAAGGAGAGGCAGGCAUGGUGUUGGACAACAAGGUAUGUGCAUAAGUAACAAGAAGCUGUUUAAGAAAGAGAUCAAGAAAAUCACCUACUGAUAACUUGUAGAAUACCGUGGCUUUUAUUUGAAUAAUCAUGGAAAUUCAGUUGAAAAUGCAGUAACUUGAGAAGGAAAUCAUGUAAAAAGAUGACCUUUGCGUUUAACACUUGCAAAACUAGUUGUCCUGAAAUAUUGUAAUUCUAACCUUUAUAAAUGUAUUAAUACUAUUGAAAUAGAAGAAAAUAAGACGACACAAGGAGUUUA